Non-coding RNA from Misgurnus anguillicaudatus (oriental weatherfish), 483 nucleotides. NCBI's taxonomy places the organism in Eukaryota, Metazoa, Chordata, Actinopteri, Cypriniformes, Cobitidae. The record is from RefSeq and is a predicted model, not a curated record.
GGAAGAAGAGUUCACUGUUUCUUCAGACGAAGAGCAGGACUCCGACGAUGAACGUUUGUAUUUUGAAGAGCGACUUGAUCCAGCUGAGGAUAUAAUUUCUGAAGAGAAUGUGGCAGCAUCACUCUCCUCUUCAGCGGGCAUUUGCAGAAAUGCGACGGACAUUCAUACAGGGUAAGUCACAUUUGCGGGCUUUUCUGUUUUAUUAGUAGACUUUUACUGAUGUUUUGCGUAGUAAUUUGGAAAAUACAAGAUGUAUAUAUAUAAACAUAUCUGUAUUUUCCGAAAAUACAUGAUACAAAUAAUGUUUUUAAUUUUUUUUUAGUAACGUGGCUUCAUCAUCAUUUACUCGCACGGGGGCAUGCAGAAACGAACCCGAAAUAAAUAAAGUGAUACAAUUUAUAUAUAUAUUUUUUAAGGUAAAAUGUAAGGCAAAAUUUGUUUAAUUAUUCCUCAUAACAUUUUUAUGCCACGAUCUACAGAACA